RNAcentral lists this long non-coding RNA (2729 nucleotides) under Homo sapiens (human). Its description in RNAcentral is "HSALNT0357660". The record is from RNAcentral. Lineage: Eukaryota; Metazoa; Chordata; Mammalia; Primates; Hominidae.
UAUUUCAUAAGAUAUAAUCAUACUUUUAUUUCAUUCUUUAAAUGUAGUUUCCUUUAGUUCUUUGAACAUAUUUAUAACAGCUGCUUUGAUGUCUUUAUCAGCUAAGUUCAACAUCUGGGCCCCCUCAAAAGUUGUGUCUAUUGCUUGCAAUUUUCCCUGUGGAUCACACUCUCUCAUUUAAACAUUUUAGAACAUAAUUGGUAUCAGUUCUGGAUACUGAUUCUCCCUCCUUUUUCACCUGGUCUCUUGUUAUUGUUUGUUUAUUCAUUUGUUUGUUUAUUGACUGGUAUGGGCUAAUUCUAUGAAGUCAGUCACUUUUUCCCCAAUGUUUGGCUUCUGAUGUCCCUGCUCCCUGUCCUUAUCUUUUAGACUGGUUACCUCAGAAUUUCUUCUGGGUCAGCAUAAGCCAUUUACUGGUCAAAAGUUGUGGUUAAGACCCCUUAACCAGUAAGACACUUACCUCUUAAGUAAGUAUCUAACUAGGGGCAUAAGGCUUGGAGGCCUCUACCAAAAUUCAAAGAGGUUACAUUUAUUCCUACAUUCAUCUAGGGACCAGUAGCUUGGAUGUUUCUUCUCUGAUCACUUCUAAGAGGGCACAAUCUUGAGCCUACAAAACUGUGAUCUAGACUGCCUGAGAUGUAUGUGAUUUUAUUUUUUUGGCCUAGCUUUCUAGGAGUUGCCCCAGUCUAGGGUUUGGUCAGAGCAUGUGCUUAAGCCCCUCGUGCCAGUGAGGCAUCUAUACUUUUUUUGUGUGUGGAUUUGUGUGUAAAUUGGGGAGUGUUUUCAAGUUGCCCCACAUUCUGCUCUGAUUGCUCCUGAGUGGGUACAGCCUAGUAUUUGCCCAGGCUUCCCAAUUCCCAGAAUUGACUGUGAUGCCAAGAGGGCUCUUGGGAUCUUGGCUGUCUCUUUUCCCAGUUAUUUGUUAAAUUUCUGGGUGUCCUGCCCUUUUGUUUUUUGCUACCAGUUUCACGGAGUUACGAGCACUUUUAAUUGCUCUCCCCAAGCUAUUCAUUGUUUUCAAUAACAGUAUGUUGCACAGAAUUAUCCACAUCCUGUCCUGAACAAAAUCCUUCCUCUCAGGCAGAGCUAUAAGCUCUUCAUUCUUACUGUCUGCUUUCUCCCCGGGUAGAAUGUCUGCAGCACUGCACAGGAGCUGGGAGUGGGAACUACCUGCUUCCCUGAAGAGGCACCUCUGCUCUACAAUAUGAGCUUCUGGAAAGCUUGCAUAGUCUCAGGACAGGGAUCUGGAGGAAAUGGGGAGCAUCAGAACCACAGAAGGUUGUACUGGGAAUAACUGGGGCAGGAGCAAAAGCCCAUCCAAGCAGAUGUUUACCACCUCAUUGAUAUGGAAGACUCUGUGAGUUUCAAAUCAAAUUUCCCUUUAAAGAGCAGAUAAAGAGUAAAGCAAAUGGGCCAUGCCUUUGAUUAUUCAUUUGUCCCUAAAUAGGUGCUUCUACCUGAGGCUGCACACGCUCCGCCAGGGGUGAGGAUGCCACCAGCCCACUAUAGCUUCAGUUUCCAGCUUCCAGGAAACUGGAUGAGAUGUUAUCAACUCACAGCAGUUACAACGCCCAUUAAUAAUAAUCAGCUUACCAGGAGCCCCACACUCUCUGUGCCCCACAGGAGAACAGCCCAAGGCAAAGGUAGAAGGGUGGUGAAGUGUGGAUGGGUGGGGAGGUGACACAGUCCUGGGGAGGCAGGGGCAGCCUAGGAAAGUGGAGAGAUGUCCUUUUCCAGCCUUUGUUCUGUUGGAUAAAUCUAUAUCUAUAUCUAGAUAGAUAGAUGGAUGGAUAGAUAGAUAGAUAGAUAGAUAGAUAGAUAGAUAAAUAAUUUCCAGUAGCAGGAAGAUAGGGAGGUGAGGACAAAGGGAAAAAGCUAUCAACAAACCAGGCCUAGUUAUGUUCUCUGCAUGUGGGCUUUCAGACCAUCCUUGUCCUCACAGAUGUGUUUGGAGUAGACAUGUGUUAGAUAGCUUACCCUUUUCUCAGAGACCAAGUAGAGACCAAGUGCUUGAGCCAAGUACUUAUUUUUUCCUCAAAAGCAAGUUUCAGCAGCAAUUUUUAACUAUACCAUCUUUUAAAGCAAGCUCCCCCCAUCCUAGGAAACUCUGUGCUCAGGCACUUAUUAGUUCUGCAGGGUGGCAUGCAAAGGCUUUUCUAAAGCAUAAUCAUAAUGGAAAAAUAAUACAUAAAAUCUGUGCACUUGUGUGUGUGUGUUUAACAAGAAGGCACUUAUGCAGCAUACAUCAUUAAACUUUAUGUGCAUUUGGAGAAUAAAUUAUCAUUUCUAGCCUGCCUCUGGUAUGGGUUGAAGAGUAAAAUACAUUAACCUAAAGUUAUUAUUUAUAUGCUAACAAAUGGAGUUAAUGAAAACUAUUUCACAUAGAAAGGAAAGAUAAGUGGUAUGCAGAUUUUUUGAGAAUUCACCUGAAAAUUGAUGGUAAAUACAAAGUCUUCUGUACGUUAAGAUCAUGCAAUGGGAUAACCUCAUUGCUCGAGGAUUUCACCAAAGCAAACAGAGCAAGAAACGUUCUGUACGUGGUCUCUUCCUGCCAAGCACGCACAAUCAUCAACUGUUUUCUAAAGAAUACACAUUUGGAAUCACACAGACUUUUUGAAAAAUUGCUUGAAAAGGUCAUUUGUGGCAGGGCAUCAGGGCUCACGCCUGAAUUCCCAGCACUUUGGGAGGCCGAGGCAGGAGGAUCAUUUGAGUCCAGGAGUUAGAGACCA